Molecule: ribosomal RNA, 322 nt
Filed under: Sensitibilla etosha
Lineage: Eukaryota; Metazoa; Arthropoda; Insecta; Psocodea; Prionoglarididae
Description: partial 12s rRNA
Source: RNAcentral
UUGGGUAGUAUAAGUUUUUCUAAAAACCUAAAGAAUUUGGCGGUGUUUUAUUCUGUUCAGGGGAACAUGUUUUUAAAACGAUAAUCCACGAUUAUUUUACUUAAUUUUGAUUGGGAACAUUUUGUAUAUCUCCGUCUGUAGAUUGUUUUAGGAAAAAUAUUUCUUAAUAAUAGUUUAUUUUAUUAAUAUGUCAGGUCAAGGUGCAGAUUAUAAUUAAGUUAAAAUGUGUUACAAUAAAUUUAUAUUUAUGGAUUUCUAAAUGUAAUUUUGGAAUAAAAUUGGAUUUGAUAGUAAAUGUGUAAUUAUUAAUUGAUUUUGAAGA